UACGGAGGGUGCAAGCGUUGUUCGGAUUUAUUGGGCGUAAAGCGAGUGUAGGCGGUUUGACAAGUCGGCUGUGAAACCCCGAGGCCCAACCUCGGAACUGCAUCCGAUACUGUCAGGCUAGAGUCCCGGAGAGGGUGGCGGAAUUCCCGGUGUAGGGGUGAAAUCCGUAGAUAUCGGGAGGAACACCAGUGGCGAAGGCGGCCACCUGGACGGUGACUGACGC
Molecule: ribosomal RNA, 223 nt
Filed under: uncultured bacterium
Lineage: Bacteria
Description: partial 16S ribosomal RNA
Rfam family: Bacterial small subunit ribosomal RNA
Source: RNAcentral